Non-coding RNA from Salvelinus fontinalis (brook trout), 1026 nucleotides. NCBI's taxonomy places the organism in Eukaryota, Metazoa, Chordata, Actinopteri, Salmoniformes, Salmonidae. The record is from the annotation of a RefSeq genome assembly.
CAACACAACAGAAACCACGACAACCAUGACUCUGAUCACCAUCUUCAUCUGGACACUGGUCUGCUGCUGCCUCAAAGGAUCCAGAGGUCAGGUGACUGUGACUCAGCCUCCUGUAGUGACAUUUUCUACAGGAGACCCCGUCACUCUGACCUGUAGAACCAACACUAAAGUGUACAAAUGGGAUAAUGGAAAUGAGGGUGCGUACUGGUAUCUACAGAGACCUGGAGAAGCUCCCAAACUCCUGAUAAAAAACGUAAAGACACGGCUAGAUGGGAUUCCUGCUAGAUUCAGUGGCAGUGGGUCUGAGAGCGACUUCACUCUGACCAUCAGUGGAUUCCAGGCUGAAGAUGCAGCAGUUUACUACUGUAAGAGUUUCCACUAUCUCAACAAUAUAAAUAUCUUCACACAGUGAUUUAGAGCCCUACAAAAACCUCCUGCUCGAAAUACACACAUCACUGGUCCACUGGACACAGAACUAAUGGUCUUGUUAUAUGACAUCACCAAGUACAACCACUUUACUAACUCAGAAAUAAUGGUUACAAACAAGUUUCAUAACUCUUCCAACCUCCCAUGUCUACAAAUGUCCUCCUUAUCAGAAAGAUGGAGGUGAAAUAGUCCCAUUGAGGAUGAAUAAUCCAUAUCAUGUCAACAUAUAAUCAUGUGUGAAGCAAAAAGGUUUGUAUGCCUCAAUGCUUGGUUGACCAACCAGACACACGCAGCUGGCCAACACUUCUGUGUAGCAGUAUUGGGUGUGUAAGUGCAUGACUGUAAGUGACAGAGAGAGAGCCCUGUGAAACAGAAACUUAGAUUUCCAUGUCCCCUCUCCCAGAAUAGAGCAGUACACUCCCCAGAUGUUCCCCCAUCCUGACACGACACCAGCGCUAGACCAGAGGAGGUCAAAGAUCAAAGUCAGAGGUUAGAUGUCAGUCACAGGUCAUUUUAUAGGUCACUGCACUGAUCUUGUGUGGUGUGCACAGGAAGAGGUUGGACACAGGUCGUCAGCCAGACUGGUAAAGGUCAAAGAUU